CAGUAGCCGCGGUAAUACGGGGGGGGCUAGCGUUGCUCGGAAUUACUGGGCGUAAAGCGCACGUAGGCGGCUUGGUAAGUUAGAGGUGAAAGCCCGGAGCUCAACUCCGGAAUUGCCUUUAAGACUGCCGAGCUAGUAGGUGAGAGAGGUAAGUGGAAUUCCGAGUGUAGAGGUGAAAUUCGUAGAUAUUCGGAAGAACACCAGUGGCGAAGGCGGCUUACUGGCUCAUUCUAGACGCUGAGGUGCGAAAGCGUGGGGAGCAAACAGGAUUAGAUACCCGUGUAGUCCCUGUCUCUUAUAC
Molecule: ribosomal RNA, 301 nt
Filed under: uncultured bacterium
Lineage: Bacteria
Description: partial 16S ribosomal RNA
Rfam family: Bacterial small subunit ribosomal RNA
Source: RNAcentral